RNAcentral lists this transfer RNA (72 nucleotides) under Marmota monax (woodchuck). Its description in RNAcentral is "tRNA.Ala". Lineage: Eukaryota; Metazoa; Chordata; Mammalia; Rodentia; Sciuridae. The record is from RNAcentral.
GGGGAUGUGGCUCAAGUGGUAGUGCGCUCACCUGGCAUGAGCGCGGCGCUGGGUUCGAUCCUCAGCACCACA